This 250-nucleotide long non-coding RNA is filed under the name Mytilus galloprovincialis (Mediterranean mussel). The record is from RNAcentral. Lineage: Eukaryota; Metazoa; Mollusca; Bivalvia; Mytilida; Mytilidae.
CUGGUAUCUAUGAUGAGUUUAUUAGUAUUCACGUUCCAGCAUACAGAAAAAUUAAAAUACAAAAAUUCGUGUAUUGGAAAAGUACUUAUGUAAUGGUCAUAAGGAUAUUUGAGAUGUGACACAUUGUGAACAUAUAGUAAAUAUAAUACAUAGGUACAGGGAUGUAUUUUAACAAAUGAAUGUUAACCAACAGUAUCUAGUCAAUGAUACACGUAGCAGUAGGAUGGUCAUUAGAAGUUAUGUAAAUUCG